AGCAGCCGCGGUAAUUCCAGCUCCAAUAGCGUAUAUUAAAGUUGUUGCAGUUAAAAAGCUCGUAGUUGAAUUUCGGGACCAAUUUGUUGGUCGUGCCUCGGUACGUACUGGUAUUAUUGGUUUCUCCCUUCUGAAGAACCUCGAUGCCAUUAAUUUGGUGUCGUGGGGAAUCAGGACUGUUACUUUGAAAAAAUUAGAGUGUUUAAAGACAAGCAUACGCUUGAAUACAUUAGCAUGGAAUAAUGAAAUAGGACGUUUGAUUCUAUUUUGUUGGUUUCUAGGAUCGACGUAAUGAUUAAUAGGGAUAGUUGGGGGCAUUAGUAUUCAAUUGUCAGAGGUGAAAUUCUUGGAUUUAUUGAAGACUAACUACUGCGAAAGCAUUUGCCAAGGAUGUUUUCAUUAAUCAAGAACGAAAGUUAGGGGAUCGAAGACGAUCAGAUACCGUCGUAGUCUUAACCAUAAACUAUGCCGACUAGGGAUCGGAUGAUGUUAAUUUUUUAAUGACUCAUUCGGCGCCUUA
RNAcentral lists this ribosomal RNA (520 nucleotides) under uncultured Glomus. Its description in RNAcentral is "SSU rRNA". It matches the Rfam family "Eukaryotic small subunit ribosomal RNA", at positions 569 to 1090 of the family's 1831-position model. The record is from RNAcentral. Lineage: Eukaryota; Fungi; Glomeromycota; Glomeromycetes; Glomerales; Glomeraceae.